GAUGAACGCUGGCGGCGUGCCUAAUACAUGCAAGUCGAGCGAACAGACGAGGAGCUUGCUCCUCUGACGUUAGCGGCGGACGGGUGAGUAACACGUGGAUAACCUACCUAUAAGACUGGGAUAACUUCGGGAAACCGGAGCUAAUACCGGAUAAUAUAUUGAACCGCAUGGUUCAAUAGUGAAAGACGGUUUUGCUGUCACUUAUAGAUGGAUCCGCGCCGCAUUAGCUAGUUGGUACGGUAACGGCUUACCAAGGCGACGAUGCGUAGCCGACCGGAGAGAGUGAUAGGCCACACUGGAACUGAGACACGGUCCAGACUCCUACGGGAGGCAGCAGUAGGGAAUCUUCCGCAAUGGGCGAAAGCCUGACGGAGCAACGCCGCGUGAGUGAUGAAGGUCUUCGGAUCGUAAAACUCUGUUAUUAGGGAAGAACAAAUGUGUAAGUAACUAUGCACGUCUUGACGGUACCUAAUCAGAAAGCCACGGCUAACUACGUG
Molecule: ribosomal RNA, 497 nt
Filed under: uncultured bacterium
Lineage: Bacteria
Description: partial 16S ribosomal RNA
Rfam family: Bacterial small subunit ribosomal RNA
Source: RNAcentral